RNAcentral lists this non-coding RNA (112 nucleotides) under Dehalococcoidia bacterium. RNAcentral describes it as "SAM-I sequence". It matches the Rfam family "SAM riboswitch aptamer (S box leader)". From Rfam's summary of the family: The SAM riboswitch is found upstream of a number of genes which code for proteins involved in methionine or cysteine biosynthesis in Gram-positive bacteria. The SAM riboswitch acts at the level of transcription termination control. The record is from RNAcentral. Lineage: Bacteria; Bacillati; Chloroflexota; Dehalococcoidia.
CUCUUAUCCAGAGUGGUGGAGGGAACGGCCCUGCGAAGCCCGGCAACCGGCCCCGACACGGGGGAGAACGGCUAAUGCCGGGUUCCUGCCUUAGGCAGGGGCACGAUAAGAG